GAUCAUGCUCAGGAUGAACGCUAGCUACAGGCUUAACACAUGCAAGUCGCGGGGCAGCAUGAAGGAUGCUUGCAUCCUUUGAUGGCGACCGGCGCACGGGUGAGUAACGCGUAUCCAACCUGCCUGUUACCACGGCACAGCCCGUCGAAAGGCGGAUUAAUGCCGUAUGUGGUCCUUUGCGGGCAUCUAAUUAGGACUAAAGGUUCGGCGGUAACGGAUGGGGAUGCGUCCGA
This 233-nucleotide ribosomal RNA is filed under the name uncultured bacterium. Its description in RNAcentral is "partial 16S ribosomal RNA". It matches the Rfam family "Bacterial small subunit ribosomal RNA", at positions 15 to 240 of the family's 1533-position model. The record is from RNAcentral.